ACACAAUCUGGUAAUGAACAUGAACCUAGUGAUAAUGUUAAUGAUGAUGUUCAUGUUGAUGCUCAACCUAGUAAUGAUAAUGAUGUAGAGAUUGAACCUGUUGUUGAUCUUGAUAACCCACAAUCAAAGAUUCAACAUUAUGAUAAGAGAGACUUUGUUGCUAGGAAGCCCGGUAAAGAAAGAGAACCAUGGGUUCAGAAACCCAUGCCUUUUCCUCCUAAACCAUCCAAGAAAAAAGAUGAUGAGGAUUUUGAGCGCUUUGCUGAAAUGAUUAGACCUAUCUUUUUGCAUAUGCGUUUGACUGGUAUGCUUAAAAUGAAUCCUUAUGCUAAGUAUAUGAAGGAAAUUGUUACUAAUAAGAGAAAGAUGCCGGAAGCUGAAAUUUCCACCAUGCUUGCUAAUUAUACUUUUAAGGGUGGAAUACCAAAGAAACUUGGAGAUCCAGGAGUACCAACUAUACCAUGCUCCAUUAAAAGAAACUAUGUUAAAACUGCUUUAUGUGAUCUUGGAGCCGGUGUUAGUGUUAUGCCUCUCUCUUUAUAUCGUAGACUUGCUUUGAAUAAGUUGACACCUACUGAAAUAUCUUUGCAAAUGGCUGAUAAAUCAACUGAUAUACCGGUCGGUAUUUGUGAGGAUGUGCUCAUUGUGGUUGCAAACGUUACUAUUUUAACG
Molecule: ribosomal RNA, 672 nt
Filed under: Triticum aestivum (bread wheat)
Lineage: Eukaryota; Viridiplantae; Streptophyta; Magnoliopsida; Poales; Poaceae
Description: partial small subunit ribosomal RNA
Source: RNAcentral